RNAcentral lists this long non-coding RNA (363 nucleotides) under Androctonus crassicauda. Lineage: Eukaryota; Metazoa; Arthropoda; Arachnida; Scorpiones; Buthidae. The record is from RNAcentral.
UCAUUGGGUUAUGUAGCCCACCCCUUUGGGGGAAUUUCAAAUUUUUUUAUCAUUAAUUAAAUACUUAGUGAGUUUACUAAGCAUGGGAAAUAUAGGAUGGCCCUAAGAAGGGGCAUAAAUAUAUUUAAUCUUCUAAGAAAUGAUAAAAGUAAAGUCCCAGAGAACAAGAGGUCAGGAGUGUACACUAUCCCCCUAUACAACCUGGAUGAGAACAAACAACAGUACUAUGUAGGAAGCACGAGCAAAAGCCUCGAAAAAAGACUAAGGAAACAUAAAGCUGAUAUAACUGCAGCUAGACAGACUACCGCAUUGGCACAUAAGGCCUAUGAACAAGUAAUCACCAUUGGCUGGGCAGAAGCAACC